CGCACCUUGCGCUCCUUGGUAUUCCGAGGAGCAUGCCUGUUUGAGUGUCAUGUUUUACUCAGUCCUCUCAGAUUUAUGUCUGAGCUGGCAUUGGAGUUGGAGGCUGCUGGGAUUUUUUUAAAAUUCAGCUCUUCUUAAAUGCAUUAGUGUGAAUACAGUCAUUUACUCUGCGGUGUGAUAAUUGUCUACGCUGUCUGGAUUUAUGGCUUCAUGCUUCAAAUUGUCUAAGGACACUAUUAUUUUGCAUUUGACCUCAAAUCAGGUAGGACUACCCGCUGAACUUAA
This 285-nucleotide unclassified non-coding RNA is filed under the name Hyphoderma sp. RNAcentral describes it as "partial contains 5.8S ribosomal RNA, internal transcribed spacer 2, and large subunit ribosomal RNA". Lineage: Eukaryota; Fungi; Basidiomycota; Agaricomycetes; Polyporales; Hyphodermataceae. The record is from RNAcentral.